GUCGGCUAUGGUGAUAUGGUGCCAAAAACUUAUAUCGGUAUGUUUGUGGGCGCUUUAUGUGCUCUAGCCGGUGUCCUAACAAUUGCACUGCCAGUACCGGUUAUUGUUAGUAAU
Molecule: non-coding RNA, 114 nt
Organism: Glossina fuscipes fuscipes
Lineage: Eukaryota; Metazoa; Arthropoda; Insecta; Diptera; Glossinidae
Source: Rfam